This 1031-nucleotide long non-coding RNA is filed under the name Anas platyrhynchos platyrhynchos (common mallard). RNAcentral's name for it is "lncRNA (ENSAPLG00000020472.1)". Lineage: Eukaryota; Metazoa; Chordata; Aves; Anseriformes; Anatidae. The record is from RNAcentral.
GCUUUAGGUAAUGCGUAGGUUGGGAUUUCCUCGCUGGUAUACAAGCUGCUCCUAAUGCAGAUGUAAUUGUCCUGGUAACUACAUUAUAAACAACCGCAGUCAUGUUAGAGGAAAUUUUGUGUCAAAGGAGGUGUUAGAGCAGAGAUGCCAGAGAGGGCAGAAAUAUAUGAGUGUAUCUAGCUGUUUAUACUAGUUGCUGAAAACACCUCUGCUGAAGUUCAUGCUAUGUGCUAGAGCAGAAAGUCCUGUAGCCUGUGGUUAUGCGAGGUGAUCAGGAGGGCUCUGGAAGUAAGCAACAUGGUCCAAAAUCAGAAGUGGGGCUCAGGCUAAACUUUCUGAUGCAUGUUAAAGACUCUUGAUUGGCCUUGUGGUUUGUCUUUGGUAACUUUCAAGGUAGCUAAGGUGAAAUUGUCUCUGCAGUUCCAUUUUGCUGAAAACACUGGGUGAUGCUGGUAAGAGAUAACAUCUGCUGCUAAAUGCGUUUCUCGGAUACUUGAAAUCUUUCAGAAAAACCACCACUCUUUGUGAAGCACAUUAUCAUCACCAGGCUAAUUAUAUCCAAAGCUGAUAUUCUAAAGGAGUUCAGGGAUUUCCUUUUAUAUAAGAAAGUGAGAUGAUUAAAUGCCCUUGCAGUGUCUGUUUCUUUCAACAAGUAGAUUUUUGCAGAACUGUUACAGUCUGAAAUGUCCCAGAUGGUGCUUUCCAGUUGCAUUGGAGCAUGUAUUUUCUGGAUUGGGAUGUGGAGGACUUAAGAAGCAUGAUUUUGGAGACUUGGAGUGACUGUAGGAAUCCAUCUGGAAAUUGUAAGUAAAAGGUAAAUCUUGAAAGACACUGAAAGCCAAGAUCAGCCUAGGGUAAAUGACGAUGAUUUCUAAAUCCAGUGUAUGUAUACUGUGGCAUUGUAUCUUCUGUGUCCUACAAAUUACUCAUUAUUUUGUUCACAAAUCUUUAUUAUGAUAUCAUUUUUAUCAGAGUAAGUUGUAAUGUGUCAUAGGAGUCUAUUUAACACUGUAUUAAAGGAUUCUGACCAG